CCGGAAUUGCUAGUAAUGGCAGGUCAGCAUACUGCCGUGAAUACGUUCCCGGGCCUUGUACACACCGCCCGUCACACCAUGAGAGUUGGGGAUACCCAAAGCCCGUGAGCCAACUAUAAAGAGGCAGCGGUCUAAGGUAGAAUCAAUGAUUGGGGUGAAGUCGUAACAAGGUAAC
Molecule: ribosomal RNA, 175 nt
Filed under: uncultured bacterium
Lineage: Bacteria
Description: partial 16S ribosomal RNA
Rfam family: Bacterial small subunit ribosomal RNA
Source: RNAcentral